AUGGGCUAGUGAUGUCGGGCUAGCACUGAACACGGAGGAAGUGGCGGGGUACUUAGACAUCUGGCCCACGAUCACGGUGGUUCAGCUGGACGAUAAGCAGCUGACCGUAUCGCUUGGUCCUAGGAGAAGGACGGCGCCUUCGCCAAGUCGGCCUAUGCGGCUAAGUUUGCUACUCGAGAAGUGUCGCCCACCACGGCAUUCACAUGGCGCUCGUGUACCCCGCUCCGGUAUCGAUUCUUAGCACAACUUGCGAUCAUGGACCGCUGCUGGACAUUGGACAGAUUGGCACAGAGAGGGCUACCGCACCAGGACUCGUGCCCUUUCUGUGAUCAGCACUACGAGACAAUUGGCCACCUGCUCCCUGAGUGCAUUCUGGCGAGGGAAGUGUGGGCCAAGGUGUUCACGGCCAUAGGCGUUCCGCAUGGCGCACCGCAAGUAGGAGAGCCUCUGCCGGAUUGGUGUGCCCGACAAGGUUCACACGGGCGUCAGGCGAGGAUGAUACGGACCUUGUGCCUCCUUGUCAUGGGGGGGGGGGUAUGGAAGCACCGGAAUGCCAUAGUCUUAGACAGGGCACUGGCCAGCCUCCGGCAGGUUCUACACCGGGUUGCGAGCGAGAGCAAGGUUUGGAGGCAGGCGGGACUGCUACGAGGAGAGCUGGAUACGUUCUUCGUAGGGACACUGGAGUGGGCUCAUCGAGAAUAA
Molecule: ribosomal RNA, 702 nt
Filed under: Triticum aestivum (bread wheat)
Lineage: Eukaryota; Viridiplantae; Streptophyta; Magnoliopsida; Poales; Poaceae
Description: partial small subunit ribosomal RNA
Source: RNAcentral